UCAGGGCUUGCCCUGGGGGAUCAGUGGCGAACGGGUGAGUAACACGUGAGCAACCUGCCCCUGACUCUGGGAUAACUCCGGGAAACCGGUGCUAAUACCGGAUAUGACCUGCGUGGGCAUCUGCGUGGGUGGAAAGAUUUAUCGGUCAGGGAUGGGCUCGCGGCCUAUCAGCUUGUUGGUGGGGUGAUGGCCUACCAAGGCGACGACGGGUAGCCGGCCUGAGAGGGCGACCGGCCACACUGGGACUGAGACACGGCCCAGACUCCUACGGGAGGCAGCAGUGGGGAAUAUUGCUCAAUGGGCGCAAGCCUGAAGCAGCGACGCCGCGUGAGGGAUGAAGGCCUUCGGGUUGUAAACCUCUUUCAGCAGGGAAGAAGCGCAAGUGACGGUACCUGCAGAAGAAGCACCGGCUAACUACGUGCCAGCAGCCGCGGUAAUACGUAGGGUGCAAGCGUUGUCCGGAAUUAUUGGGCGUAAAGAGCUCGUAGGCGGUCUGUCGCGUCUGCUGUGAAAACCUGGGGCUUAACCCCGGGCCUGCAGUGGGUACGGGCAGACUAGAGUGCGGUAGGGGAGACUGGAAUUCCUGGUGUAGCGGUGAAAUGCGCAGAUAUCAGGAGGAACACCGGUGGCGAAGGCGGGUCUCUGGGCCGUAACUGACGCUGAGGAGCGAAAGCAUGGGUAGCGAACAGGAUUAGAUACCCUGGUAGUCCAUGCCGUAAACGUUGGGCGCUAGGUGUGGGGCUCAUUCCACGAGUUCCGUGCCGCAGCAAACGCAUUAAGCGCCCCGCCUGGGGAGUACGGCCGCAAGGCUAAAACUCAAAGGAAUUGACGGGGCCCCGCACAAGC
This 846-nucleotide ribosomal RNA is filed under the name Thalassiella sp. RNAcentral's name for it is "bacterial SSU rRNA". It matches the Rfam family "Bacterial small subunit ribosomal RNA", at positions 73 to 930 of the family's 1533-position model. Lineage: Bacteria; Bacillati; Actinomycetota; Actinomycetes; Kineosporiales; Kineosporiaceae. The record is from RNAcentral.